RNAcentral lists this unclassified non-coding RNA (579 nucleotides) under Acremonium egyptiacum. Its description in RNAcentral is "sequence contains 18S rRNA gene, ITS1, 5.8S rRNA gene, ITS2, 28S rRNA gene". The stretch from base 201 to 354 matches the Rfam family "5.8S ribosomal RNA". The record is from RNAcentral. Lineage: Eukaryota; Fungi; Ascomycota; Sordariomycetes; Hypocreales; Bionectriaceae.
UCGUAACAAGGUCUCCGUUGGUGAACCAGCGGAGGGAUCAUUACCGAGUGUAAAAACUCCCAAACCAUUGUGAACCUACCACUGUUGCUUCGGCGGCCUCGCCCCGGGCGCGUUCGCGCGGCCCGGACCCAGGCGUCCGCCGGAGGCUCCAAACUCUUGUCUUUUAGUGUAUUUCUGAGUGGCAUAAGCAAAUAAAUCAAAACUUUCAGCAACGGAUCUCUUGGUUCUGGCAUCGAUGAAGAACGCAGCAAAAUGCGAUAAGUAAUGUGAAUUGCAGAAUUCAGUGAAUCAUCGAAUCUUUGAACGCACAUUGCGCCCGCCAGUAUUCUGGCGGGCAUGCCUGUCUGAGCGUCAUUUCAACCCUCAGGACCCGUUCGCGGGACCUGGCGUUGGGGAUCAGCCUGCCCCUGGCGGCGGCUGGCCCUGAAAUCCAGUGGCGGUUCCCUCGCGAACUCCUCCGUGCAGUAAUUAAACCUCUCGCGGCAGGAUAGCGGUUGAACCACGCCGUUAAACCCCCCACUUCUCAAGGUUGACCUCAGAUCAGGUAGGAAUACCCGCUGAACUUAAGCAUAUCAAUAA